Molecule: ribosomal RNA, 479 nt
Filed under: uncultured bacterium
Lineage: Bacteria
Description: bacterial SSU rRNA
Rfam family: Bacterial small subunit ribosomal RNA
Source: RNAcentral
GACGAUCGCUGGCGGCGUGCCUAACACAUGCAAGUCAACUUGACGGAAGGAGCAAUCUGACCGUAGAGUGGCGCAAGGGUGCGUAACGCGUAAGUAACUUGCCCAAGGUAAGGAAUAACGUCGAGAAAUCGGCGCUAAUACCUCAUAAUGCAGCGGAUCCGCAUGGAUAUGUUGUUAAAGGUUUACCGCCUUGGGAUAGGCUUGCGUCUGAUUAGCUAGUUGGUGUGGUAACGGCACACCAAGGCUACGAUCAGUAACUGGUCUGAGAGGAUGAUCAGUCACACUGGAACUGAGACACGGUCCAGACUCCUACGGGAGGCAGCAGUGAGGAAUAUUGGGCAAUGCUCGAAAGAGUGACCCAGCAACGCCGCGUGGAGGAUGAAGGUAUUCUAUAUCGUAAACUCCUGUGAGAGCAGACGAAAGACAGAUUAUAAUCUGGAUGACUGUAUGCUCAGAGGAAGCCCCGGCUAACUACGUCG